Molecule: ribosomal RNA, 406 nt
Filed under: uncultured bacterium
Lineage: Bacteria
Description: partial 16S ribosomal RNA
Rfam family: Bacterial small subunit ribosomal RNA
Source: RNAcentral
AUUGAACGCUGGCGGCAGGCCUAACACAUGCAAGUCGAACGAGUGGCGGACGGGUGAGUAAUGUCUGGGAAACUGCCUGAUGGAGGGGGAUAACUGCUGGAAACGGUAGCUAAUACCGCAUACCCUCAAAUGGGCCCAGAUGGGAUUAGCUAGUUGGUGGGGUAACGGCUCACCAAGGCAACCAUCCCUAGCUGGUCUGAGAGGAUGACCAGCCACACUGGAAUGGAGCCACGGUCCAGACUCCUACGUGAGGCAGCAGUGGGGAAUAUUGCACAAUGGGCGCAAGCCUGAUGCAGCCAUGCCGCGUGUAUGAAGAAGGCAUUCGGGUUGUAAAGUACUUCCAGCGGGGAGGCGUUACCCGCAGAAGAAGCACCGGCUAACUCCGUGCCAGCAGCCGCGGUAAUUC